RNAcentral lists this long non-coding RNA (30149 nucleotides) under Ananas comosus (pineapple). Its description in RNAcentral is "long non-coding RNA (ACOM_LNC023970)". The stretch from base 2963 to 3123 matches the Rfam family "U1 spliceosomal RNA". Lineage: Eukaryota; Viridiplantae; Streptophyta; Magnoliopsida; Poales; Bromeliaceae. The record is from RNAcentral.
AAAGUAUUUCUAAAAAUAUACUAUAUAUAUAUAUAGAAUGAGUUGAGCUGGAAUGCUAUCGGUAGCAAACGGGCUCCGUUGCCACCCAUUUGUUUUCGAUGAUGGAGCUUUUAAAUUGACGAUCGGCACCGUUGAACAUGAUCUAUAUCAGUUGAAGUAUCUAGAAAUCAAAUUUCAAAUCUUUUCGACAUCAUUUACCUAAUGAUCAAAGGGUUUCAAAAUUAGUAAUUUUAAUGGUUGAUAUGAGGGGUUUUCUUGUUUAACGGUGUAAAGCUAUCCAAAUCAAUUAAAUUUUGGUUAGAAAAUUCUUUAAACUAUUUAGAAUAAGAUCUAUACUCUCGAUCAAGAUUACAAAAUUUUUAUCAUCACUUUUCAGAGAAUAUUCAUUUUCAGCCAUUCAUUUUUACGCCCACUUGAUGGACAAGAAAACAAUAUGGAAAAAGUAUGAAAUUUGAUUUCUAGAUACUUCAAGUGGUAUAGAUCAUUUUCAACAGUGCCGAUCGUCGAUUUGGAGGCACCAUCAUCGAAAACAAAUGGGUGGCAACGGAGUCCGUUUGCUACUGAUAGUAUUCCAGCUCAACUCUAUAUAGAAUUAUGCUACUAUACUAUUAAUAGUACCAAACUCUUGAUACUAUUGAGUUUUCAGCCAUUGAAUGAAAGGAUGUACGGUUAGGAUGAUGGUGGUCUCCGGUUAAAUUGAUAGUGGUCCCCUAGGGUUGAGUGGGUGGUUGGUUCAAUAGUAUAAUCUAACGGGUGAAAAUGAUUAAAAGGUAGAUCUAACGAUAGAAAACUCAAUAGUACCAAAGGCUUGGUACUAUUGAUAGUAUAGUAGCCAGACUCAUAUAUAUAUAUAUAUAUACAUAUAUAUAUAUAUAUAUAUAUACAUAUAUAUAUACAUAUACAUAUAGAAUUAGACUGGAAUACUAUUAGUAGUAAAACACUCUUUUUGCUAUCAAGUUUUUAACCCUUGGAUGAAAAAUUGUAGGGUUAGGAUGAUAUUAGUCGGUUAGAGUUGAGUGGUCCUCCUAGGGUUGAGUGGUCCCUACUGGGUUAUAGUAUUUAAUCCAAUGGCUAGAAAUGAUGAAAAGAGUUGAUCCAAUGGCUAAAAAACUGGUAGCAACAAUAGAAUUUUGCUACUAAUAGUAGCCCAGUCCAACUCUAUACAUAUAAUAUAUAUAUAUAUUAUAGAUAUAUAUAUAUAAUAAGUUGAGCUAGAAUACUUCUAAAAGUAUUAUGAGGUUGUGCUUUUGAGUUUUUAACCAUUGGAUGAAAAAAUGUAAGGUUGGGAUGAUGGUGCUGGUAGUGGUAGGUGGAAUAGUGUUUGAUCCAAGGGCUAUUAGUAAUCAAUGAGUAGAUCUAAGGGCUAGAAAUCUAAAGCACCAAUUGGGUGAUACUUCUAAAGUAUUCUAGCUCAAUUAUAUAUAUAUAUAAUAUAUAUAUAUAUAUAUAUAUAAAAUUGAGCUAGAAAACUCUCAAAAGCACCAACCCCUUAGUGCUUUUGAGUUUCUAACCUUUGGAUCUAUUUCUUGAUUAUUAAUACCUUUGGAUCAAGCAAGCACUAUUAUCUCGGUCCUUUUGAUAGAGAGAGAAAUAAUAUAAAUUCUAAUAACUCUAGGUUGCAUAAUUUGUAGGCCAAAUAUAGAAUUUGAGAGUUUUGGUUCAUCCACUAAUAACUCUAGAUUACAAGGAAAAAAAAAAAAUCUAAAUUCUAAUAACUCCACGUUGCAUUGGUGGGUUCCAAAAUAUAUAAUUUGGAGGAGAAAAUUAAAUCUCGUCCUCGCCCUAACUUUAUCUAGUGUAGGCUUAUUAGUGGGUUUUUUUUAAAAUUUCUCUCUCUCUCUUUUUUGUGUGGUAUUUAUAAAUAGAUAACUUGCAGGUUUAUGGUCUGAUAAAUUUAUGUUAAAUAGCACAUGUAUUCUCUCUCCGAGGACAAGAUUAAAUUCGUCUUGUUUUAUGCCCAGUCUUAUUAUUACAUGCACAUUUGUUGUCAUUGCAAUUUUCACAAACACUUUUUGAUCAUCGUAGGUAGCAAAGUCAAUAAUCUCUAAUCUUCACUAAUAUUAUAAAAAAAUGCAGGAGUUGGAAAUUAUUGUUACAUAUGUAAGGCCAUAAAUUAUUUUUAAAUUUAAUUCAUACUUGAGUAAAGAAUAUUUUGAUUUUCAAACCUAGCUGAUUUUCCAAUCCGUUAUUUGUUGCUGUGAUCCUAAGUCAGUUUCAACAUUUUUUUUCUUGAUGGGUAGUUUCUUGCUGUUUUUUGUGUGAAGCAAAACAUACAAAAUAGAUGCUUUUGGGUUUUGAGCAAUAUAUACACACUUUUUAUAGCUGCAUUGAGGUUAGAAAAUUUUAUUAUUUGCUUUUGUUGUAAAAUAAAAAAAAAGUAUGGAUGCUUUUUCAGAGAAGAAAAAACUAAAUGAGUUAUUGGAGGGAAGCAAACUAGCAACUAGUAAUUCGCGUUUGUAAUAUUAUACAUAUUUUAAUCCAAUUAUAUUAUCGGUAUAAAUUGGGAUUCCAUCUGGAUUAAACUGACAUGACAUAUAAUCUUUCAAAUAGAAUUAGGCUUCGCACAACCCAAAUGCACGAACCUGAUUUGAAUAUUGGGCGAAACCUGUCCGGUUACAGUAUUUGUUCUAAAACAGGUGAAAUAUGUUUCGAAUAAAAUCUAAAUCGGUCCAAAACCGAUUCUAGUGGGUGUCAUUUAUGCAACUCCAAUAUCAAAUCUAUUCCUACUAGUUUUUCAAAAUCGGUUCUAACCGGUUUUAUAAAUCGGUUGAUCAUGUUGGCACAGCGUCGAUUAUCGUCAUUAGGAGAGGGUUGAUGAUAGUAAAUAUCAUGAAGAGAAGUGCAACGGGAAAGGUGUGGCGCAACAUACUCAACGUCAUUGCAUUUAGUCCCACAUCGCCUAUUGAAAUAUUUUCCAUAGUUCCGGGGGCUACAAAGGGAGUGGGACGUGGACCUUUCCUCCAUACUUACCUGGACGGGGUCUAUGGGUGAUCAACAAGGCUCAUGGCCUAGGCCCGCGGCCCACAUUGCACUCGGUGGGCGCGCUGGCCUACCAUCUCCCCAAGUGGGAGAGUGGACGUCAUAAUUUGUGGUAGAGGGGGUACGCGCCAUGCGCGGCCCCUGCCAAAUUCUGUAAUUCUAAUUUUUCAGCACUAAUAAAUAUUUAGUACAAUAUUUAUAUCAAAUUUGGAAAUUUUAAUUUUUUAAUAUUAAUAAAUAUUUAAGAUAAUAAAAGAGUUUGGCUAUGAUGAUUUUAAAAGCACAAAACACUUCAUAUUUGUAAAUUUUCUGCCAUUGGAUUAAAUUCUUUGAUCAUUUUUAUCCGUUUGAUCAUACUAUUUAACCAACUACUCAUUUAACUCUAGAGAACCACUUUUGUCCUAAUUGCACAUUUUUAAUCCACAGACCGAAAAUCUACAAGUACCAAUAACUUACAUUCUUAAUUAAAGGGUCGAAAACCUACGAGAACCAAUAACUUUAUACUUUUAAAAACAUAGGAGCUGAAUUCGAUAAUAAAAUAUUAUUUUAAUAUUAAUAAAUAUUUAAUUUAUAUUGAAUUAUGUGAAUUCCACAAUUCAAAUAUUUAAUGUUAAAAAAAUACUAAUAAACAUUAUUAAUGAGAUAUUUAAUUAUGUGAGGAUGAAAAAAAAAAAAGCUUUUAAUGGUAAUAAAAUGUUAAUAAAUAUUUAAUUAUGUGAGGGAUACAAAUUAAAAAAAGGGUUAAUCCAGUCCAAAAACACACUUUUUACACGGCGUCUUUCAUUCAUCAACUAUAUUAAUUAAUAUUUUGGAUAAUUUUGGGUUUGGAAAUGGUGUCCACUAAUUUUCUUUAUUUAUUAGUUUUUUCAAUUACCACCACUUAUGUUUGAUUGGGAACAAAACAAAACCAAAAAUUACUUUUGGUAUAAAACAUAUUUUUUCGCUUGUUCGAUUCAACGUAAAAUAAUUUUUUCAUAAAAAUAUUUUUAGAACUUUAGAAAAUAAUUGAGUUUUUUUGUUUUUAGCGGUUUUUCGGGAAAAAAAAAGCUCCCUAUCUCUUUAUAUUAAUGUAAUAUUUUAUAUUUAUAAUAUUUUUUUUUAUAAAUAUAUAUAUAUUAGUAGAGUAUACGCGCAAAUACAAGUAACAAAUAUUUUAAUAGUUAUCUCAAAUUAAUAUAAAUUUAUACAUUAUAUUUACUCAAAAAUUUAUAAUAUAAAAUAAAUUUAUUUAUUAUAUACUAUUUAAAAUAUCUGCCAUAUUCUAACUCAAAUUUAAUAGUUGUUGCCAAUAAUAAUUAUAUAGUUUAUUUUUUUAUUUUAUAAAAUUUAUAUGUAGUGUAGAUAAAUAUAUACACUGAAUCUUGUUUUAUAUUUUUUAAAUUCUGAUAAAUCUAUGUCACGCCUUGAAUUACUCGUUUUCCCGGCACGCUAACAGACUCGCUGUAUAUAGAGAAAUUUUUUCUGUAUACGAAACGAUAGCUGUACAUGUACCUAUAAUCAUACAAUACUACAACCAGUAAUAUAGAGCUGAUAAAAGAAAUACAUAUAAUAAUAUCGGUUCAACAUACAUACAUAGUAUCCUGAUACAAAAGCACUCGCUCCAGCGAGGAUCUAACAUUAGUAUGUACAAGAACCAAAACUAACACUAGCUGUAAUGGGUAUAUCUCUAGAUCGGCAGCAAUACUGGAAGGGAUCUAACUCGCGACUCCCUUUCUACGAUCUGUAUCCGAAACAGCAGCAGCCGAAGAAGAAGACUCUACAAAAAGGGUCCACUAACUGGGUGUGAGAACUACUGCAAAAAGAAUUAGUCCUCAGUUGGUACCGCUACCGACCUCAACGGCUCACCCACUAAGUCUAUAGAAGUAUGCUCAAAGAUAGUAUAGGAAGCUGAAACAAUUCUACAACUAUAUGCCACUAUAGUAUCAUGAUCCAACACUAACUAUCUGUAGAAAAAUACAAGUCCUGACCCAAUCUCAUUAGGGACUGAAAACACCCGUACCGCCUGUCGAAGCAAACCCGUACACUACCCCAUGAAUAGUCGGUGGAGAACACUCUCUAGGGACUGAAUACACCCGUCCCACCUAAUUAGGCUACAUCGUAGCUCAAGAGUAACCGGUGGAGAAAACUCUCUAGAGACUGUGAAUACACCCGUCUCGCCUAACUAGGCUACAUCGUAGCUCAAGAGUAGCCGGUGGAGAAAACUCUCUAAGGACUGUAAAUGCACCCGCCUCGCCUAACUAGGCUACACCGUAUCUCAAAGGUUGUCAGUCCAAGUAAAAAGGUCCGACAGGACGGUUGUGACUUCACUCACGUCACAACCUCACUGAAGGUAGAGAAAAGCGUCACUAACUAUCUCAUCUGGGCUGUCCAAAUGGACCUACCCUGUUUGUAUCCAGCUACGCAGUACACCACCCACGGGGGUGGCCGGCUCAAGAACUGUCCAAACAGAAACUGUGACCUCAUCGCACUGAACCCUCAUUCCGGAAUAACAUUCGUGGGCGCGACCCAACCGAGUUUACAAGUAUCUCUGCCAAGUUCAUUCAGGCUCUGACAGACUGUAAUCACUAUCAAAGGGUCAAACUGGUCUAACAACUAUAAUCUACGUGCCCUCGACACAAUCUGAUGCAAAAACAGCAAUCUGGGUCCACCGUCAACCGCAACGGCACCCGACAGUCUGGAACAGUCUAUACACUACUGUAAAAAUAAUCUCGGCAUCUCAGCACGAGCGUAAUUUCAUUCUACACUAUUCUGAAUAUCCACCGUCUACAAACUGCGGCGAUACAAACAAACUACAGCUACUAAAGCUAAAUCUUGUAGUUUUAAGAAAAUGGCAGUGUAGAGGUUAAGGUUUUCUCCUAAGUCAAAUCCAAAUCCAACAUGUAUAGUCAAUCUAGCAAUUCUAAGCUCCAAUUCAAAUUUUAUUUAUAAACAAUGCAAAUCUACGAAUCGAGCUAUUAAACAUGAUAUCCAAAAUCCAAUAAUACAUGUUGUCAACUGAAGCUUAGGAGGAAAUCCGAAAAUUUCGUUAGCUUAACAUCAACCCACCUCAAAAACUAAUCCAACUCCGGCGAGAAGUCGAUAGGAGAGGAACCACGCACUCGCCUGGCCUCCCAACGAUGCAACUAUGACGCACGUACGCUCAAACGGCUUCCCGCCACGGCGUCGGCGUUAAUCCGAACUCCAACCGCGACCACCACCUCAAGUGCGAUCAAAAACUAGAGGGAGAGAGAGAACAACAAGCCAAAACCCAUUCUCCACGCUCUCUUCAUGUAUAAGAAGGCUCGGGAGGCAUUGGUUUGAACGAUACAACAAAAGACCAAAAGGCCCCUUACCUACCCUGGAGUACCGGUACCAAGCUGAUGCCGUACCAGUACCCCGUAUCAGAAGUUGCAACCCGAGAGCAGCAGUACGCAGAAUACGCUGGAGUACCGGUACGUCCCUGUGUGGUACCAGUACGAAAUGCUGAAAACCUGCAAGUUGCAGAUUUCAAAUGCUAGAAUUCUGCUCUCACGACGCAACGAGUCCGUUUUGCAUCUCUUUCGCGCCAAAACGACUCGAAUUUGUCCCGACACUCCAUAUGUGUCGACAAGUCCCAGAUGCAGAACUCUCAUAGCUGCAGAACACUAAGGAUACUAUAAUCUAAAAUUUAAAUAUAUAUUUUUAAACUAAAAGUAUCAAAAUUAAAAAAUCAAUAUAAUAAUAAAAUAUUAGUAGAUAGAAUUGGGAUAAUAUAUAAAUAUUUAUUUUAAAAAAAGAUAUUGAAUGAUAAAAAUAUUUAAUAAAAAAAUAAAAUAUUAAUAGUUGGAGAAAAAAAAAAGAACUAAAAGUUUGUUUCGUUGUAUUAUUUAUUUUGCAUAUGAAAAUAGAGAAAAUUUGAAAUGGGUGUAUCGACGGAUCGAAAUUUUAUAUAUAGCAUAGAUACAUAGUGAAGCGAAAUAAUUAUUUCGGAUUUGAAUUCGGUUUUUGAAUGUUUUGUCAAGUUCGAUAUUAACUUUCAAGAUAUGUUGGUUUCGAAUUUGGGUUCGAGUUUCAGGUUCUGAUUUUGGAUUCGGUUUCGGAUUUUGAAACACAUGAAUGGUGCUCUCUCUCUCUCUCUCUCUCUCUCUCUCUCUCGAUCGAGCUGUUUGUUGAGAGAAAGGCCCAAUUCUGGCCUAUUGGGUCGAACCAAAUUUUGGGCUGGGUCCGAUAAUGGGCUGGGUCCAAUAAAUGCCUCGCCCUGGAUUUUUCGGUGAAGCCGAGAUGAAGCAUAUGCCUCUGGAUGCUGAUUCUCGUCAUGUUUUUAUUGGAAUAUAAAGCCAUCCAGCUACGAGCCCUUGAAAUGAUAUUAGUGAUUGAGCAAUUCUUCCCCUCAAAGAUCACCUCGUUCCUUUCCUUCACACAGCUCCACUCGUUCCAGGAUAUAUAAUUUGGAAGGGAAAAUUAAAUCAGGCUCUUGUCUUAAUUUUACCUAAAUUUAUGGGGUUUUUUUUCUCUUUAUGACUUGAAGGUUUAUCGCCAGAUAAAUUUAUGUUAAAUAACAUAAAUGUAUUAAUUCUCACUCCGACGAUGAGAUUAAAUUCGUCCUAUAUUGUGCUCAGUAUUGUGAUUACAUGUACAUUUGUUGUCACGCACAGCUAAAUAUUCACGUAGUUGGAAUACAUACGCUCCAAACUUGCAAUUUCAUAAACAUUUUUUGAUUAUCUUAUAUAGCAAAGUCAACAAUCUCUAAUCUUCACUAGUACUAUAAAAAGAUGCAAGAGUUGGAAAUUGCUAACUUAUUUCUAAAUUUAAUUUAUACUCGAAAGAAGAUUAUUUUGAUUUUCAAACUUAGCCAUUCUCAAAUCCCUUAUUUGCUGUUGUGAUCCUUGAUGAAGUAGUUGCAUUUUCUACUAGGCAUAAUGGGCACUAACACGGAAUACAAGACACGGUACGAUCCGGAGACGAUGACUCGAUAACUUUUAAAAAAUUAGGAUGCGGGUACGGCAUGGACAACACUAAUAAAAUAUAAUAUUAUUGAUAUAAUAAUAUAUAUUUAUUAUAUGUAAAAUAUUAAUUUUGGUAAAAUAUUGUUAUAUUUUUCAUACGAAUUGAAAUUAGUAAAAUUUUCGUUAAUAGUUCAUAUAUUUUAGAGUAAACUUCAAAUACCACCAUAUAAUUUCGUACUUUCUUACUUUAGUACCCUAUGGUUUAAAGUGUAUAAAUUUAGUGCCAUGUGGUUUUACUUUAUUUUUAGGAAAAACUUCAAAAACCCUCCCUGUGGUUUCAUAGUUUCUCACUUUGCCCCCCCUGUGGUUUAAAAUAUAUCAAUUUGUCCCCCUGUGGUUUCUUUUUUCUCUUUUUCUUGUCAAUUUUAUUAUUUUUUUUCUUAAAUUAGUGAUAAAGUUAAAAUUAAAGGGUACUAAAGUGAAUAUUUGAUAAAUCUAGAUAGGUAUCUGAAGUUUUUUAUAUAUAAUUUAAUGAAAUAUUAACGAAAAAGCUACCGGAAAGAUAAAAGCGAAACCACAGGGGGGCAAAUUGAUACGUUUUAAACCACAGGGUACUAAAGUGAGAAACGAUGAAACCACGGGGUUUUUUUUGAAGUUUUUCCUUUUUUUUAUCAGCUUCUCCAUUAAUAUUUUGUUAAAUUAAAUACGAAAAACUUCAGAUACCCCAUCUAGGUUUAUUGAAUAUUCACUUUAGCACCUUUUAGUUUUAACCUUGUUACUGAUUUAAGAAAAAAAAUUCAUAGAAUUGAUAAUAAAAAAAUAAAAUAAAGUCAUAGCGCACUAAAUUGAUACACUUUAAACUAUAGGGUACUAAAGUGAGAAAGUGCGAAACCAUACGGGUGAUAUUUGAAGUUUUUCCUCUAUUUUAAGAAAAAAAAAACUCUUUACCAUACAUAGUAUUUAUAUCGUCCAAAAAAAAAAUUAUAUGCAUUCAUCAAAAAAACUAAAAUAUUUAUCAUUUUACAUUAUAUAUGAAAAAUAAUAUAUAUAUAUAUUAUUAUAUAUAUAUAUAUAUAUAUAUAUAUAUAUAUUAUAUUAUAAUAUAUAGGCUCCUAUGCUUUCGAAAGUACGGGGGCCCGUGGUUGUAAGUUGUGUUCGAUGAUGGGACAUCCGAUUUGGCGAUCGGUUUCGUUAAACUUGAUCUCGCUAUUGGACUAUCUAGAAACCAAAUUUCUAUUUUUGAUUUCGUUUGUCUAGUGAACGAGUAGCCUUAAAAUGAACGGCUGAAAAUGAAAAUCUCAUAAAAACAGUGAUAAGGAUUCAAAUUUUAAAUUGGAAGUUUGAUCUUGCUACUGAUGUUAAGUAGAAUUUUCUAUUAAUUUUCAUGUAAUUUGGAUAUUUCUACACCGUUGACUUAAAAAUGUACAUAUCGACCGUUAAAAUAGUCAUUUUUUAGACUUUUUGAUCGCUUAGUAAAUGAUGUCAAAAAAAUUUAAUUUGGUUUCUAGAUAAUUCCAAUAGGGUAGAUCAUACCUAAUGGGCCGAUCGUCGAAUCGAACGUCCUAUAUCGAAAACAACUUACAAGCAUGGGGCCUCGUACUUUCGAAAGUACGGGGGACGGACUCUCUCUCUCUCUUCUUCUCUCUUCUCUCUCUCUCUUCUCUAUAUAUAUAUAUAUAUAUAUAUAUAUAUAUAGUCCGGCUGCUAUCUAUCGGUAGCACGGAGGCUUCCGUGCUACAAAGUUGUUUUCGAUGAUGCGGCUUCCAAAUUGGCGAUCGGCUCCGUUAAACUUGAUCUACACUAUUGAAAGUAUUUGGAAACUAAAUUUCAGAUUUUUCGACAUCAUUUGGUUAGUGAUCAAAAGGUCUCAAAUUGACAAUUUUAAUGUGAUGUAAUACAUUUGUAAAUUUAACGGUAUAAAACAAUCCAAAUCAGAUGAAUUUUUUAUAGAAAUUCUUUUACUAUUUAGAGUAAGAUCAAUAUCUCUGAUCUUAAAUUCAAGUCUUCUAUCAUCAUUUUUUAUGAGAUUUUUACUUUCAGCGUUCAUUUUUAGAUUACUCGUUUGAUAGGUAAAUGAUACGAAAAAUUAUGAAAUUUAGUUUUUAAAUACAUUCAAUAGUGUAGAUCAGGUCUAACGGAGCCGAUCGUUGAUUUGGAAGCGGCAUCAUUGAAAACACUUGGUAGCACGGAGGCGUUCGUGCUACCGAUAGUUAACAGCUCUCUCUCUCUCUCUCUCUCUCUCUCUCUCUCUUUAUAUAUAUAUAUAUAUAUAUAUAUAUAUAUAUAUAUAUAUAUAUUAUAUAUAUAUAUGCGCUAUGUAUCGGUAUUGAACGUGCACCCAAAAAAUGUCAACAUCGGACACGAGUCCGACACGGACAUGCACAUAUAUUUUAAAAAAUAUUCUCUAUCAUACAUAUUUUAUUUAUAUUGUCCAAAAAAAAUUAUAUAUAUGCAUCAAAAAGCUAAAGUAUUUAUCAUCUAUGAAUAAAAAAAAAGUAAAAUAAAAAUAUGUAUAUAUAUAUUUUUAAUUAUAUACGCCAUGUAUUAGCAUUGAAAACGCGCUCAAAAAGUAUCCACAUCGGACAUGAGUCCGACACCGGCAUGUGUGUGUCCGACACGGACAUGCUAGGUUUUAAAAGUGUCCAUAAUACAUAGAUUUUGUGUGAACCAAAGCAUACAAAAUGAAUGCUAGCUUUUGGAUUUUGAGCAGUAUAAAUACACUUUUAUACCCAUUUUUUCGUUGCAUUUUGUGUGAACCAAAGCAUACAAAAUGAAUGCUUUUGGGUCUUUUGAGCAGUAUAAAUUCACUUUUAUAGCUGCACGGAUUGUAGAAAAUUUCAUUAUUUGUUUUUGUUGUAAAAUAAAAAAGAAGUACAGAUUUUUUUUGGGCAAGAAAAGUCUUAAUAAGUUAUUGGAGUAAAGCAAACUAGCAACUAAUGCUGAGAGGCUGUUUGGUUCUCUUUAAAAUCGUCCGGAAAACAAAUUUUCAAUGGAAAAGUAUGGUUCCGAGCGUUUGUUUGUCCGUAAAAAAAUUUUUUCAGAAAACUUUUUUUACAAAUCUGAGGAAAACGGAGGUUUUCGUUUGUCGCUCGCGACGUUGGGAGGGGUGGGGUUCACACGCGCGCAGUCCACGAGGCGCACCCCACCUCGUGGACCGCGCGAGAGAGAUCCCGCAAUGGACCUCUCUCCCCAACUUCUUUUUUUAUGUAUAUAAUAUAUAUAAUAUAUAUAUAUAUAAAUAUAUAUUUAUAUAUGUAUACUAAUUUCGUUAAUGGUAUACUAAUUCCGUUAUGCAUUCAGAUAAUGGUAUAUUAAUUCCGUUAUGUGUUAUUUUAACGGAUCAGGAAUAUUUUGGUGCGGAUGACAUAUUUUACGCCUGCAGUUGAAAGGAGAGCUCCACUGAAGCCUUGUAAUGUCUCGGACUCAUCGCAACCCGCCGAUGACGAGGAAUUUGCGAGGCAUGGAUGGCGACGAGGAUGAUGGUGACUUCCGGUCGCGAUUCCGAGAUAAUUGAUACUAAAAAAGGUAAGAGAAGAGAAAUGGGGAUAGAGAGAGAUGAGGAAAUUGAGUUAGAGAGACGAGGAUUGGGGGAUUAGAAGCAGAGAAGAGAAGAGAAGAAUUAGGAAAGAGGAGUGUAGGGAAGGAGAAGAAGUUUUGGGAAGAAGAGACUAAUUUUCUUUCAUUGAUGCCCUUCUCUCGUUAGUUACAUUUGCUUUACUUUUGGAGGUUCUUGCGUUCCCAUAUCAAAAUGGAAAUUGUGUGUGCCGCUGCACCUAGUCUCUCGGUGUUCGCCGCUGUCUCCAUCUCUUCUCCCUCUAAUUCUCUGUGCGUCUUCCACCAUCUCUAUCUCCUUUCCCUCUCUCCUUCUCUCGUGCUCUCUCUCUCCAUUUUCUGGUUUCUUUCCAUUUCAAUUUCGUCUCUCUCCUACUCUCCUGUUCUCUCUCCCGUGCUCCCUCUCUCUCCCCUGAUCUCUUGAUUCACCUCGCUCGUGUUCAAGAGCUCGUUCUCUGUUUCUUAAUUGAGCAAUGAAGAGGAAGAGAGGGAACGGUGGACGUGGGGCGGGAAUGCAUUUUUCUCUUUAAAAGAGAUUUAUUUAUAUACCCUCAAUUUUCUCAAAAUAUCUUAUGUAAUUUUUUUUUAAUUUUAAAUUAUAUCUCUCGUUAUAUUUUUCUUGUAAUUGGCUCUUAAAUUUCUAAAAAAAUUAAAUAAUUUUAUUUGAAGAAUUUAAGAUUUUUUUUUUUUUUGAAUUUCAAUAAAUUAAAUAUUUUAAAUUAUUUUAGCACAUAAAACUGCACUAAUUACUGAUUUAUUUUUAAAGAAUAAUUAAAUUUAAUAAACAUUUAGAUUUAAAUUGCUGGGAUAUAUAAAAUCAAAUAAAAAAAAAUUUAAACCAGAGGGUGCCGGAGUUUAGGUACUUAUUUCAAAAUAUUCUAUGGUCGAGACGUUCUUAAUUAAUACUUCUUUACCAAUCAUAUGGAAGGAAGACGGGACCGUUGGUAUGGACCAAAAGACAAAAAAAAGGUCGAGAACGUUGAUAUUUGUGUAAGAGCUUGAGAACGUUGAUAUUUGUAUAAGAGCUUGAAUGGUUUAUUAUUAUGCUAAAUUUUAAGAUGAAAAAAUAUCAGUGAAAAUGCCUAUGGAAUAAUAUGCUUUUCCGGCUUGUAUCAAUAUUUUUAGAAGUUUGUGUUCCUUGGUACUGCUAUGGUGUAGAUGUGCGUUUCACCGUUUUGAACCUCUCGGUUCUUUUCUGUUCUUUUUUUCAACUACAGUUUUUAGCUUUACUUUUCUACAGCGUAAAUAUUUGAUAAUAGAGAUACUAUGUCAACUUGAUGAUAUAUAUCAGCGUACCAUUUUCGUCCCCCUCAAUCUUAACAGUAUUGUGAAUUAAUAUAUCCUUAUGCAUUAAUCAAAUAAAUUCUAUUAAGAGUAAUUAUUAUCUUAAAAGAAAAAUAUUUAUCAAACUAACUAAUCGAAUUCGAGCUCCGAAAAAUUUAUAGUUCAAACAAAAAAUUAAACAAAUAAUUCAUACGUACAUGAAUUUCUUGGUAAAGAUCUUGGUCUUGGAGGUUAUUGCACUCUCGUAUUAGAAUGGAAAUUGUAUGUGCCGCUGCACGUAGUCUGUCGGUGUUCUCCGCCAUCUCCAUCUCUUCUUCCUUUCUCAUACUCGCGGUGUUCGCCACCAUCUCCGUCUCCUUUCCCUAUCUCCUGCUCUCUCGCUCUCCAUCUCCUGGUCUCUUAUUUUCCAUUUAAAUCUCAGUCUCUCUCCUUCUUUCCUGCCCUCUCUCUCCUGUGCUCCCUCUCUCUUUCUCCUGGUCUCUCUCUCCCCUGGUCUCUCUUGGUCGCUCUCUCUCUUUUUCUUUAUUCAGCCAGGAAGGCACCAAUGCAUGUUUAUAAAGGGAUAUUUAUCUAUAUACCUCUCAAUUUUCUCAAAAUAUUCUAUAUAACUCUUUUUUUUUAUUUCAAAUUAUCUCUCGUUAUAUUUUUCUCGUUAUUGACUUUAAAUUUUUUUUAAAAUUAAAUAAUUUUAUUUGAAGAACUUAAGAAUUUUUUUAAAUUUUUUGAAUUUCAAUAAAUUAAAUAUUUUAAACUAUUUUUAGAACAUAAAAACUGCAAUAAUUAAUGAUUUAUUUCUAAAGAAUAAUUAAACUCAAUAAACAUUUAGAUUUAACUUGAUGGGAUAUAUAACUCAUAUUAAAAACCAGGGGUGCCGCAGUUUAGGGACCUGUUUCAAAAUAUUCUAUGGUUGAAGGGUUCUUAAUUAAUUAGUGUAUCUUCACCGAUCAUAUAUAAGGAAGCCGAGACCCUAGGUACCCCUUAACUGUUGAAAGUCUAGACAAUCCGAGCCUAGGCUUGGUUGCACCUUGUCUCAUAAGCUUCACGAUCGGAUCCGUCGCUCACGGCCACCCAAUCCGUUAACUGGACUUAAAUACUUCCUUCCAACUAGGGGUGGAACUGAACCCAGGCCUAAACAAGGCCCGGCGCGAUUGGCCAUGUUUGGGCGGGGCUUUGGGUGUUAAAAACAAAACUUUGCGUUUAGCCCGAGCUUAACAAUUUAGGCCCAAAAAUAUUUUGGGCCUAUUUAGGUAUGUCCAAGCCCGCCCCGAGUCUGACCCAAAAGUCCGAUAUAUUAAUUAUCAAAAUAAGAUACUUAAUUUCAUAUAUAGGCUAGGGCUACUAUACUCUUAUGAGUAUAGUCCCCUUUGUACUCAUAAGUUUCUGACCAUUGGAUGAAGAAAUGUGCGGUUAGGAUAAUAGUGGUCCCCAGUUAGGUUAAUAAUGGUCCCUUAGGGUUGAAUGGGUGGUUGGUUGAAUAGUAUAAUUUGACGGGUGAAAAUGAUCAAAGAAGUAGAUCUAACGACGAAAAACUUAUGAGUACAUAAGGGACUAUACUCAUAAGAGUAUAGUAGCCGGACUCUAUAUAUAUAUAUAUAUAUAUAUAUAUAUAUAUAAGGAAUAAAUGAAUAAAUGAUAUAGUAUAUCAUAUAAAGUAUAUAAUGUUAUUAACGAUAUAUAUUUAUAUUUAUAUAUAUUUGAACAUAUUAUAUAUUAACAAAAUAUUUAGUUUCAUAUUAGAAUAUAUUAAAUAGUAUUAUUAUAUAUAAUUAAUUAAUUAUACAUAUUUAUUCAGUACAUAUUAUUAUACAUAAGUAGGGCUACUAUACUCUUAUGUGUAUUGGACCCUUAAUACUCAUAAGUUGUUUUCGAUGAUGGAGCUACCGAAUCGACGAUCCACUCCGUUAAAUAUGAUCUAGAGUAUUUGAAACUUCUAGAAAAUAAAUUUUGUAAUUUUUCAAAAUCAUAGUAAAGUCCAUCAAACGGGCAUAAAAUAAACGGUCAAAAUCGAAUGAUGUCUUAAAAAUGAAUGAUCGGAUCCUUCAAUUUAAGAUCGGAGUUAUUGAGAAUAGAAUUUUCUAUCAAAAAUUCAAUCUAUUCAGAUUCUUUUGCACCGUUAAACUAGCAAGUAUUUCAUACCGGCCGUUAAAAAUUAUCAAUUUUGUGAGUUUUAGAUCGUAAGGUAAAUGAUGUCGAAAAAUUAAUUAGACAUUCUAAUUAGUUUAAAAAUCAAUUUUGUGAGCUUUUGAUCGUACUCAUAAGAGUAUAUAACUAAUUAUUUAUGUACAUAACACAUAUUAAAUAUAUAUUAUUUUAAAAUUUUCAAAAAAUUAAUUAGUCGUUCUAUGUACAUAACUUAAGGAUAAUUUUAAAAUUUUAAAAUACCACAAUGCUACUUUAAAAAAACCACAUACGCCCUAAUUAAUUAAACGUUCUAUAUUUCUGCUCUUACAUGAGAAGUUCCUACUUUACAUAGGUGGAUAAUUAUUGAUAGAUAUUAAUGGUAUUAUAUUUGAUGUUAGAUACUAAUUUUUUUGAUGUAAUCAAACCUCAAUAAAAAUAGAUAUUUUAUUUUAAUUUUAUACAAUAAAAGCAUUUAUGUUUUAUAUGAUGAAUAGAUAAAAUGGGCCUCCACAGAGCCCAAUGGGUAUUAGGCAUUGGGCUUGGGCUUGGACAGCGCUUAAAUUUCAAAAAAAAAUUUCAGAAAAAGUCCGAUCCGAAGCCCAACAUUUUUUUUUUGACUAAGCUUGGGCAUAGUAUUACCCGACCCAAGCCCGGCCCAGUUCCACCCUACUUCCAACCCCUUGUUGCUUAGAACCUGUCGGCUCCUCGAUUUGCUCCAGAUGAACCUAAGCUGUUGCCUUCUCGUUCCCCGCUGCUGUGACCUCCGUUCGCCAUGGCUGCUAUCCUCCAUAAGCACUCUUCCUCAGAUCUCCAUAAGCUCUUUUUCAACUCUUAUUCUUUUAUCCCCUUCUAUUACCUUCUAUUUUACUACCUACUUAGCAAUGGCUCCACACUUUACUACUAUUCAGGAUGUUACAAGCCUCUUGUGAGAAAAGCACGAAACCCUAACGAUAAUCAUUAUUCUUUGGUUCGGAUAUAAGUACCCAAACACCAUUUUGCGCACUGGGAAAUAGUAGUUCUCCUCUCUGGGGAAUAAGCUUUCAUUCUUCCCCCUAGAACAAGCGCUUAUUUAAAGUCUAUAAAUCUACUUCUAAUUAGUUAUUAAAUAAGUAAUUAAUUUAAUUAAUAUCUUUAAGUCAUUAUCUAUUUCUUAAAUAGUAAAGUAGUUUAACUAAUUUAUUAUUUAUAAUUAACUAGAUAAUUAAAAAUUAAUAGUUUAAUAUUUUUAUCCAAUAAUAUUUUGGCUAAUCUACUUAAUUUCUUAACUAAUUAUCUAACUAAAAUAAUUUACUAAGUAAUUAAAAAGUUAAAUUAUUUUUUAAAUUAAUUAAUUAAUUAAUGUAUUAAUUAACUAAUUAAUUUAGUAAUAUUUAUAAUUAAUUAAUUAGGUAAAUAUUUUUAUUUUAACUUAUAUUUAUUCUUAUUUCCGCUAUUCCAAAAUCAUCCAAAUGCUAUUUUUAUUAUUCUAAAAAAUAAUCUAAUUUUCAUCUAAAUACAAAAUUGAUUUUAUUCCUACUUAUUCCAAAAGUUACACUUAUAUCAGGAAUAAUCAAGAACAGUUUAUUUCCGAAUCAAACGUUAGCUAGAAGACUACACUGGAAAUCGUAAGCAUUUGCUUAUAGUUGUUGCAUAUCUUUUGUGCUCCGACAUUGUCGAAAGAAUGUUUGAAAUUAUUUUUACCACAUCGAAUGUAUUUAAGAUCAGUAGAGAUGGUGCGACAAUAACCGCGCGCCCGAGAAGCUUAUUAUGGUAUUCUGAAGAUAUUUUCGACCGUUUAGAGUUUUCCAAUCUUGGGCUUUUUUGGUUAUCUUUCUAAAAUCAUUCUGUUACUUGUAGUUCUUUUGAGGUGCAGUUUUAGUAUAUUUGAGAUUGUGUAAUCUUGCAGCUUUUUUUUUUGUUACUUUGGAGUGUGCAUGAGCUAAACUUCAGUUUAUCACAGUUGGAUCAUGUGGUUGGCAUACAUACACUCCAAAAUUGCAAUCUUCACAAACACUUUGUGGUCAUCUUAGAUUGCUACUCUCUUACUUCACUAGUAUUAUAAAAAGAUGCAUUAGUUGGAAUUGUCAUUAAUAAUAUAUGACCGUAAAUUACUUCUAACUUUAAUUCAUAUCCAAGUAAAGAAUAUUUUGACUUUCAUACCAAACUUAUUCUCCAAUCCGUUAUGUGCUGCUGCGAUUCUAGUCAGUUUCAGUAUCUUUUUCUUGAUGGGUACUUUUUUCUGUUGCAUUUUGUGUGAGGGAAAGCAUAGAAAAUGAAUGCUUUUGGGUUUUGAGUAGUAUAAAUACACUUUUAUAGGCCGUACUAAUGAUAGAAAAUUUUAUUAUUUGCUUUUGUUGUAAAAUAGAAAAGAAGUAUGGAUUUUUUUUUGAGAUGAGAAAAGAUAAUGAUUUAUUGGAGGAAACCAAACUUGCACCUAUAGUGAUUAGUGUUCGCAAUAUUGCAUAUUUUAAUUCGAUUGUAUUAUUUGUAUAAAUUACAAUUCCGAACAGGUUGACUAAACAUGACUUAUAUUUUUAUAAAUAGAAUUGGACUAGGCAUAGCCAAGAGGUAAGAUCCGAAUUUGAAUUUCGGUGAAAUGGUUCCGCCUACAAUUUUUUGUUCCAAACCAGUUAAGAUCUUUCCGAGCAAAAUCUGAACCGGUUCUAAAAUUGGUUUGACUGGGUAUUGUUUAUCCAUAUUUAGUGUCAAAUCAUUCCCAACCAAUUAAAAAAAAUCACUUCUAGCUAGUUUUGUAAAUCAGUUAGUCAUCUUUGCAUUGUGUGGCGGUAAAUAUUAUCGAAAAAAGCACAACGGGAGAGGUCUAGAAUUGUAGAGACUAGAAUUGUAGAGAGACGCUCCAAGGGCAGGCAGCCCAGUAUUGCACGGUCAAAGGCAGAACAGCGAGACACUUCAAAGGCUCAGAAUUGCAAUAAGAAAGUGUGAAAUCAAUCGAAUUGAAAAUUUUGAUCCUUCGGAAAAAUGUAAAACUGGAACCAAACGGGUGUAUGAAAAAAUGAGAUUGUCAGUUCGAUUUUAAUUCAGUUCAGUUCAGUUAACAUUUUUUUCCUGUUCUGAUGAAUACUCCUAUUCAAAUCCGUCUUAUGCUAGACUGGGCCACCUUUUUCCACCCCUAGUCCGAACUAGUCUUGCGGAAAAUUUAUCACAAAUAUAUUCACUUCGAAGGCCCCAACUCUUAAAAUUAUGCAGAAUUUUUUUUCCAAAAAUCUUCAAUGGUAAUUUUUUUCUUUCUACUAUCACAAAUAAUAUAAAAAAAAUAAAAAAGUCAAUUUAUCUCAUUUAGUAAUCAGAGUUAAGUAUUUUAUCAUUGGUUAACUAUAUUUUUCUAAUAGAUACUAACAACGGGAGUAUAUUUGAAAACGUUAAGAAUUUUGUAGGAAUAAAUAUGAAAAGUUUUUUUUUUUUUUUUUUUUUGAGAGAUAGGUAGGGUACCAACCACCAAGCCCUUUACCACUUGCUCUAGGGACAAUCAGCAAUAAAUAUGAAAAUUUGAACUUUGUAAGGAUAUAUAUAUUUGCUAUUCAAUAUACAAGAAGCCGGAUGUAAUUGAUCCUAUUAAAUAAGCCGAACAUGAGCUGACUCGUUAAAAUAUCGAGCUAAAAAUUCAGCUUAUAUUCGCCUUGUUUAUUAACAAGCCAAACACGAGCUGGCUGACACACCACAUGCUAGAUUGUCAGCCCUACUAUGGCUUAUUUUCUUCGAGCUUGAACACGAUUGGAUUUUUUUUUUCUCCCGAGGUCCCCACGUGAGACAUAAUCAGAUCCAGCCUUCAAUUUGAGGGACACCAGAUGACUGACGAAUCAAAUUGCAUCAUGCAUCGGGUCGCGAUUUCCCCACCAACAAAGACUUAAAGAUAUCAAGACACAACAAUAUUUUUAUAUUUCUAUCUAGACACAACGGAAUUUUUGUGUUACCACUACUUGACUAGCCAAUCCGAUAAGUAAUUUUGCUACAUCGUCUUCAUCAUUCUAGUGUUCUUUACAAAAUUCGCCUGCAACUAGUCUAAACUCAAUAUUUACUGAUGCGUACGUCUUGCGUUUCUAGUUAGCAAUAAAUUGUGACAUAGUUUUUGGCUGAGCAAUCAAACGCACUGGUACUGUAAUAAAACUACUUUCUGGGGAUGGUUAAUUAAACUAAAAUUAAAACCAAAUAUUGAGAAAAACAUCCUAAAUUCUAAUAGCUGUAGGUUGCAAAAUUAACUUAUCGGCCAAAGUUCAAUUACUUGGAAUUAAGGGACGUGUAAUUUGGAGUUCAAAAUUUAAUUUGGCCGGCGUCCUAACUUUUGUGUAGGUUCUUUUUUUCAGUUUUCUUCUGAAAGGACUCGGUACUUCUUUCGGCCUGUAGGCGUACAUUCUUAGUGUGAGAUUCCAGAUAAUUCUAUAUAUAAAAUAUAAUAGAGUUAAAAUUCUUAACCCAGCAUAAGUAUUUUGGGUGGUAAUUAGGCCUAAAAGGUUAAGAGAAUUAAACGUUCUAGGACGAAAGUAAUACUACAAUGGGUGAACCCUAGAAAGUCGGGGCAUCACACUUAGAGCCAACUUGGCUAAUCCUGGUGGUAUGUCCUUAAUAGAUGAUUUAAAGGUAAUGUUGGAUUUUAUUGGAUUUGAUUGUAAUUUAAAACUUGUUUGUUAGGCCUCUUGGGAGCCCAAUAAUUAUUAAUGGGCUUUGCUUGAGAGCCCAACUAAAGUUUUCAUGUGUGAGGUUUAAUUCCACAUUGAAAACUAAAAGGGUGUUGUUGGUAUAUAUAUAUAUUUCUUUAUUCUCAAGCUACUUGCUUGGGAGAAAAUGAGAGUUAUGCUCUCGUUUAAACACACGCACGACACGAGCACGAAUCGAGCCGGGCCGGAUGGGCGGCGGCGCGCGCGGUCCAUACACCCGGUUUAUUUUAUUUUAUAUCUUGUUUUUCACGAAUUUGACGCGAUUUGACGCAUUGAAGCAAUAUUCUCGCAUUGGUUAUAUAUAUUGGAAGAGAUUGCGUGAGUUCAAUAAGAUCCCAAGCAUAUCUAAACCCUACCUUGUCUUUCUCGCCGAGUUUUCUUUUGCUGGAUCUAAAACUGAUUUUUCUUUUGCUGGAUCUAAAACUAGUUGGGUUAGUCUUACGCCACCUUAAAAGCGUGCCGACGAAGUGGAACGUGGUUGUUGUAUCGUUAGGAGUAAUUGUCGGUAAGACUCGCACGUUAAGGGGCAAUUUCGCUUCUACGACAGUGCUCUAUACGCCUCGAUCCAUAAGCCUUAUCUAAACUUUUUCUUUACAGUAUUUGUUAUUUAAUUUUUUUUCGGAAUUUUUCUAAACCUGAAACUAAACUUUCGAAUUAGUUUUUAAAAAAUAUUGUAAUAAAAGAUCAGAAAGAUUUUUCAAUAAUUUUGUCUAAUAAAUUUAUGUGAAAUAGAAUAUGUAUUCUCACUACAUGAGUGACGAACUUUCAUUCUUUUAAGUGAAUUGGCAAUUCUUUUCUAGCAGAAAAUUUUGAAUUUACUAUCUGCUGCUGCUGAUGAUCAAUCACCUCAAAAAUUUAUGUGAAACAGAGUUAUAUAUUAUAUAUAUCAUAUAUAUUUAUAUACGUAUAUAUAUAUAUAUAUAUAUAUAUAUAAUAUUUAUAUAUUAAUAGUUGAGCUAGACUUACUAUCGAUAGUAAAACUAGCGUUUUACUAUCCUAGUUUGUUUUCGGAUGAUUAGAGCUUCCUAAUUGCGAUCGGCUCCAUGAACAUGAUUCUUAUAACCUUGAAAAGUGUUUAGAUCAAUCACGUGUUGGUCUCGACCUCGAAACAUUGAGUACGCUUAUGCUUACUGUUUGUAGUGGCUAUAAAAACCUUGACAAUAGCUUGUCUGGGAUUCAAUGAGCGAACAUGAACAAAAAAAACAAAAAAAAAAAACGCACAAAAAAAUAAAAAAAAAAAAAAUAAAAAGUUGUCCAAUUUGUAUUUCAGCCUCGCUAAUAUUGUUGAGCUGAAAAAUAUAAUCGUGUAUCGGACUUUUUAAUAGAUGAGCAAUCGUCUUGACUCAUUUCGAGCAUAACAUCAAGCUGAGGUACGAUGCAAGUGAGGUGCGAUUGUUAGCCCUACUUACUAUUGUUGUCUUAGUUUUUUAAGUCUCGUUUUUUCUUGAGCGCAGUUAGUUUUCUUGUCACUUUUGUGUGAACCAUAAUGCACACAAAUGUGAAUGCUUAGGUUGUGAAAUAUAAGCACACUGCUUUUAUAGCUAAUGUCUAUAAUAGAGAUGUAUUUAUAUAUCUGCUUUUGAUGGAAAAGAUAUGAAACACAUUUAUGAAUUUUUUUUUUUUUUGAAAAGGUAGCACGUUCCUGGCUGUCGAUUCAUUAAAGUAAAAUGAAUUAGGUACAAGGGCUGAGGAUCGAGGGCCUCGAAAGAGGAAAAUUAAUAAGAAAGCCAAAAAAAAAAAAAUAAAAAAUAACAAAUAAAAAUAAAAAUAAAAAAUCACGCACCAAAGCCGAGGUGGCAGGGCUUUAGAUAGUGUGCGAACAAUCUCAGGAAUUUCAUCAGUCCUUCAACCGUAUAACCCACGGAGGGGAGGUCAGCUUGGAUGUUUCGAAAAAAAUCAGAUCGUUUAGCCUUCCACAUAUCACAGCGACGCAGCCAAUAAGAGAGUCGUCAUGCUCGUAUUCGUAUCUUCAUUUCUUAACGACCACUAUCCCAGCUUAUGAAGAACAUCUGUCUUCCAGCUUGUCGCGUUGAAUACCCUUCUAUCGAUCUACAUGAAUAAAUUAGCUGAAGACAUACAUUUGGGCUGAGAGAUGGUUCACAGAUCAGUCGUGGUGAUCUGCACAGUAGCGCCGCGCGUCACCAGUCGCAACUUCUUCGCUCCGCCGGAGCGUUAUCAGGGUUCAAACAGCGUCGUUUUAAGGACGUAGCAACACAGAACAAAUCACAAAGGGAUAGAUUAUAUUCAAACUUCUAGUUGCAGGUCGUCCUCAACGCCGGGUCAUCGUCAACAAGUAUAAGCGAUUUGAGCCCGAUGAUCUCACGAUUGUUUGCCCUAUCGCCACGCUAUAGUGUUCCGGGCCUUGCGUUUCAUGAUACAGUAACCCUAAUCUUUGAGAGCGCGAAGUUUGCAGUUAACCCGGUCCUUAUAAUCAGCUCAUCACUCAAAUCAUGUCAGUUUCCAGCCCUGACGGGCAAAAAAUCCGUGAACAUUACUAUCAUUUACGUUCCAUUCAGUGCGGGUAGAUCCCGGAAAGACAAUAUAGCUGGUUUCCCACACCAUUAUCCGUCCAAAAAUAGGAUAGAAGUUACCGAUUACCCAGUAAAGUGGGAAAUCCAUGUGGAAAGGCACGUGUUAACAUCCCUCUCCGCAGAAUGCGUAGGCGAACUGAAAAUUUUCCUUCUUAAAGUCUUACUUCUUCGGUAAUACAGGGCUCUGGUAUUAUUGUUGUUCCUAUGUAACUGUGGCACGGUGGUGGAAUCUCCCCAUCAUUGGAAGGAGUGCACAGUUCAUAAUAUCUAAAUCCAAAAUGCCCAGCCCCCCUUGUGUUUUACUCAAACAGACACUCUUCCAAGCCACCAAACAUCCCUUGCCUAGAGAGUUACUUUCACCGUUCCAGAAAAAGUCUCUGCGUAAGGCUUCGAUACGCUUGAUCACCCACUUCGGUGCCUUGUACACAGAUAGGAAGUAAAGGGGUAGAUUGGUAAGGACAGCAUUGACCAGGAUGAGUCUACCCCCUCUUGAGAGAAGUUUGGCUUGCCAUCCCUGAAUUCUGCGUUGAAUUUUCUGAAUGAUCUCUCUCCAUACCUCCUUUGUGGGGGGUCUAGGGGAAAGAGGAAAUCCAAGAUAAGUGGUUGGCAGGGUACCAACUUUGCAUUCCAGAAGGUUUGCUAGUUUUGCCGCCCUGCCCUCAACCUGCCCCAAGUAGUAGAGUUCGGACUUAUCUCUAUUGAUUUUCAUUCCCGAGGCCCACUCGAAGAGGCUCCACAUCAGUCUAAGGUUUCUCAUAUAUUUUUUCCUCGCCUCACAGAAGAGAAAAGUAUCGUCCGCAAACUGUAUGAGAGUAGUCAUACUUUCGUUGGAUGGGCCAAUCCCUUUAAGAAGAUUGUUACCAGUGGCCACAUUCGUCAUUUUGGCUAGACACUCUGCCACCAAUAGGAACAUGAAUGGUGAUAGCGGGUCUCCUUGCCGCACACCUCUCUUAGUUUUAAUCCAAUUGGUUGGCUCCCCAUUGACCAAAAUAGCUACUUUCGCAUUACACACGCACUGUUCCAUCCAUCCGCACCAUUUAUUGUCGAACCCCCACCAGCGUAGAAUACUAAAGAGAAACGGCCAAUGAAUCCUAUCAUAGGCCUUUUCGAAAUCCACUUUUAUGCGACCCCCUCAGUACCCCUCUUACACCCCCACCCUAAUAAUUCCGAAACUGUUGCAUACGCGUCGGUGAUGUUCCUCCCCUUCACAAAAGCUGAUUGUGAGGGGGAUAUUAAGUCAUUCAGGACCACAGCGAGCCGAUUGGCUAGAACCUUUGAUACGAUCUUCUGGACACCGUUAAGAAGGCUAAUAGGUCGGAAGUCAUUCGCUCUCUCCGCCCCGACCUUCUUAGGAAUCAAGCAUAUGUAACUGUAGUCAAUGGGAGCAGUAGACAACCUCCCCUCAUACAUUUCCUGGAACAAGUUGAAUAUGUCAUCCUUUACGAUAUCCCAAAAAGUUUGGUAGAACCUUAAUGAAAAUCCAUCCGGGCCCGGAGCUUUAUCGCUCCCCAAUUGGAAGACAGCGUGCUUUAUUUCCUCGAUGCUAAAUUGUUCAUUUAGCCUCCUAAGUUUAUCUGCCGAAAUCUGACCAGAGGAAAAGAGGCCGCUCCAGUCCCCAAACGAACCUGGUGGCGAGUCUUCCGGCGUGAAUAACUCCUUAAAUUUACGGAAAAAAUAGGCCUUCUUUUCCUCCUCAGCCUGGUAAACCCUCCCGUUAUCAACAACCACCCCGAUUUCGUUAGCUCUUCGUCUCCCAUUGGCUAUACUAUGGAAGUACUUUGUGUUCCGAUCUCCUUCCCGUAACCAAUGUUGUUUAGCCCGAGUUCGCCACAAAGAAUCUUCAUCCUUCAGAAUUCCUCUUAAUUUAGUUUUUAGCUCUUCUCUUACCAAUCCUCUUUCGUCUGAAAGAUUGUCUUGUUCCUCGGCUUUGUCCAUCUCGUGUAUUUGGGUCAUUAACUCGUCUUUCAUGCCUCUAAUGCUAUAGAACUCUUGCUUGCACCAUUCCUUAAUUCUUUGCCGACAAUGUCUUAGUUUUGCUGUGAUAGUAAGCACCGCUGAGUUUUCCGGGGCCCGCUCUUUCCACCAUUCAGGUAAUUUGUUAAGAAAUCCCUCGUGAUUCAGCCAUGCUUCCUCAAAUCUAAACAUUUUCUUCCUCCUCUUGAUGUUUUUCUCGACCGAUAAGAGGAUGGGGCAGUGGUCCGAGGUGACACGAGGGAGCGCUUCGACUCUGGACGAAGGAAAGUCCUGAUCCCAUUCUGUUGAGACUAAGAAGCGAUCAAGUCUCGCCAGAGUAGGAUUUUUUUGCAUAUUGGACCAUGUGAAGGAUUGGUUCAUCAUCGGUGGGUCGAUUAACGCUAGUUUUCUAAUAAGCUCAUUAAAACGAUUCGUAGCUCUAGCACUCCAGGUCUUCCCCUUUCGCUCUUCCUGUCGUCUAAUACUGUUGAAAUCUCCGCAGAUAAUCCAUCUUCCUUCGCAACUCGAUUUUAGUUGUUCCAAUUCCAAGUAGAACUCCUCUUUACCAUUCCAAGUUGCAGGCCCGUACACGUUAGUGACAUAAAAAAUUAUCCCGGUCUUGAUGUGUGAAAGGAGGACGGUAAUCGAAUAGUUUCUCACAAGCACAUCGUGGCAGGUGUACACACGAGAGCUCCAACACGUAAUAACCCCCCCGGAGGCACCAUCCGAUUCCAGAUAAACACAUUUGUUAAGGAAGGAUCCGGCUACACUACGUAGAAAAGAGCCCGACACAUGGUUCACUUUAGACUCUUGAAGACACACGACCCCACUGUUAAAUUUAGAGAUGACCGCCCUAACGGCAAUACGCUUAGGAAGGCAAUUAAGCCCUCUUACAUUCCAACUACACACACUUAACAUAAUAAAAACAAAAAGACACCCCAUCACAAAAUCCCAAAAUGGUGUCCACAAAUACAGAGUCCCACUCCGCCUACACUCGCUUACCCAAGAACUCAGCGAAAUCCUUCGCCUCCGAUUCCUCCAGGCUGACACCGCAGAGGCGGCUCUUACGGAGAAGCUUCUUAACAGAAUAAUUAGUCCCACGCCUUUCUCCUUCCUCACGCUGGCUAGCUUUUCUCACCAUUGCUCGGUGCAGGACUGUAGUUUUCUCAGAAUUCGCAAGUCGCAUGCUGGUCCGUGGAAGUAAGGAAACCGCCAAAUCACCUCUGAUGACUAUGGACUCCUUCCCAUUGGGCUGCACCUCCGACCCCUCAAUCCGAUCUCUAGAGUAGCCUUGCGCCACCUCGACAUGCUCAGUUGCUUGCUGAUAGCCUGGAUAAGGUUCCAUCUCUGCCCCUGUUGAGAUGCCAAGUAUUGCACUCCCCAACGUAACGCACUCACAAGGCCCCGAACCGGUCCCACCGGAGGCCGAAUGAAUGGCCCAAAGUCCAAUAGAAUGCGGGUGAAGGGCCCACCCGCAGUCCUUCGCUCCAAAAAUAAAAAAACUAAGGCUUGGGCUUGGUAUAGGCGCGAUGUAGCAGGCCCGCUUCCCCAUUACCACCCCACGUCCACUAAAUAAAAGAUUCUCACUCUCACUCCCACUCCCAAUAGGAUCCACCAGAUUCACAAUAGGCUUCAUAAAGGAAUAAGUCUUGUCGGGUUGACUCCACGGAUAGGUUACCUUGAAAUGACCCAUAGCAUUUACUAUCUCGGGCCCCACACUCGUGAGACCAGAGUUGUCCAUCUCCCAACACAUCACCUCUGUCAGGGGCAUGGAAAGUCUGCUCUUCCCAAACCCCUUCCAGCUUGCCUCCUUCUUCAUGCAAUUUUCGUAACUCCCCUUCUCUCUUCCAUGCUUCGAUCGCUGCGCUUCUCUGCCCUCGAUUCCUGUGCCGCCGCUUCCCGUUUCACUCUCGGCUCCCAUCCCGUACACCACCAUCUCUCCGCCCGAUGCACAUGUCGGUCGGCCAUCGGUGGCCGCCCACCCUCCCGAAACGCCGUCGGCAAGUCCUUCGGGCGCCGCUCUCCCCGCCGCCCGGCUGUGUGGUCGACCACAGAACUCCGCUGACCAUCCUCCAGUUAGACCUCCACCGUUGUUCACCGCUUUCCAGAGCGGUGCGGAUCGCGAACGUCCACAAGGCACCAACGUCCGCCCUCCCGCCGUCCUCCCUCCCUCACGGUCGUGCGUCCUUUUUUGUCCCGACGCUCGGCCAUCUCUCCUAUCAUCCACCGCCAUCCCACCCACCCGUCUGCACGAUCGUUCCCCACGCUCCCCCUCCCCCGAGUCAGCCGAAUGGGCCCUAUUGUUCAGUUGGGUCGAGUCAGCUUCCUCCACCUCCCCUGCUUCAUCUCUCAUCUCCUCGUCCUCACUCGCCUGGCCACGGCGAUCCUGUUGACUGGGAUCUCUAACCCCCGCUUCCUCCCUUACCCCGCCACCCCCCCGCCCGUUCUGCGGAGGUGCAGGCGGAUCGCCAUCCCCUCCUUCCACAGCCCUCUCCCAGCUCUCCAAGUGCACCAUGACGGCGAAAGCUUCAUCACCCAACACAAUUGACAGGUUCUGGGGGAUAUCAUAGACAGAAUCCAGAGCGAUCUGGCACCUGAACGCUCGCAGGUCUGUCGUAGCUUUGGUGGUUGCAUCCGCCCUUAUAAACCUCCCGAACGCACUCACAAUCGCCGCCACACGAGGGACCGUCCAGCACUCGAACGGAAGAUUAAUCAGUCGGAUCCACGCCCGCAGCCUCGAUCGAUGUGGGCGGACGUUCGUGUACUGCCCCCAAGGGUAGCACCUGAUCCAAAAGUUGUUGAGGGUGAGCACUUCCCUCCUAAGUAGGUCCUCCGCAGAUACCCAUUCAGGCAGGAAUAUCGCAAAGUCCCGUUCCCUAUAUCUUGCGACUGCAAAGUCGUCGACGUACCCCCCGAAACGUCUGGCCAUGGCGGUUUUGAUUGUGGUGAUAGGGUCCGGUCCCAGAAAUGCAGGUUGUAUCACGUCCGCAAGUACUGCGUUAUGGCGCCGCUCACGUCUUCGCAAGUACUCCUCCGUGUACGGAACAAACACCUUCGGCACCGGAGUGCGUCCGCGGCCCUGUUGACGGCAAGGCCUGAACAUCUUCUCGUUUACCUUAAACUCUCUACUCUCCUUGCAGUUGGAUGCUCGGUGACCGAACCUAAGGCACCUGAGGCACCGUACCGGGUCACGGCAGUCGGCCACUCUGUGCUCCUUAGCGAGACACCUGAAGCACCUCCUCGCAAGGUCAGAACUUGAGAUCCACUUCGGACCCUUCAAAGUGGAAGUUUUCUUGGGAGGAAAUGGGGCAGGCGAGUGGUGUGGGUGCUGCCUCAUCAACAGCACCGCCUUAUACGUCCGAGGAUCAGAGCUGGAAGAUUUACUACCAUCAUCUUCCCCACAGUACGUCCCCUCCUUUGCAUCAAUCCUGGUAGCCAACCCAGACUUUCCGGCUUGGUGAUCAUCACUAACUCCCUCCUUUUGCUCAUUAACUAAGCCCUUGCCGGAAGCAGGUAAGAUCACAACACCCUCAACCUGUCUACGACACGUCUCCACUAAACCUGUGCUGACCUCGUUCACCCCGACUCGUCGCUUCAGUGGAUUUCCUCUUAACUGUCCGAUCUUUACUCCUUCCCUCAGCUCUUGUUCAUCGUCUAGACCAGAGAAAGACCCCUCCUCUCCAUAAUGGCACCUGCUCACCUCAACUAAUGGUUUACCUACCUCGUCCGCCCAUGCUACUCGCUUCAGGACUUUCUUCCUCCUUUCCUCCCUAGCUCUCUCUUUCUCUCUCAUUUCCUCCCAUUAUGAAUUGUUGUUUAGACGAAAGUAUACUUAAUGAGUUAUUGGAGGAAAACAAAUUAAAUUCUUUUAUUUGUAGAAUUUAAUAAUGAUUUUAUGCAAAAUAAUGCAUAUUUUAAUUCAGUUUUGUCGGUUUGAGGAUUGUAAUAUGGAUCGUGUCGGUUGAAUCAGACCAUCAGGUGGUUUGAUAUAGCACGAAUCCGAAUCCUAGCAGUGUUGUACCAUGCCACCUUUUUUUUAUAUCCACGUUCUGAUCCUGCCAAUAUACUGGAUACGUCUUAACCUGGUCCAGCUGUGCAAACUUUUCUUCCUAUAAUUUUUUAAUAUUCUUUAAAUUUUAUUUUAUUUUUAAAAUUUUACUAAUCAUUAUAUAACAGAUAUUUUUAUUUAUUAAAUAAAUAAGUUUUAAAUAAAUUUUAAGAAUAUUUUUGAAAAUUUGAAUAGUUUAAAUUAAUACUUGAAAUAAAAUUAAAAAUAAUACAAAAAAUUAGAAAAAAUAUAAAAUAAAAUAAACAAAUAGAUAGUGUCAGUCUGAUUGGCACGCCUGCUCAUUGGCCUUUUUACAUCCCAUGCAUUUUGCAAUUAACACAAAAAAGAAAAAAAAUCCAAUUAAAAAAGAAAAAAAAAAUUUCGAUCUACUACGACAGAUAGGGAAGGAGCAGCAAAGAUACGCAUACAAUAAAUAGGGAAAAGAGUUAUCGAUCAGUUUAAAGCAAAAUUUUCUAAAUAACUAUACUCAUCAUAGUUCUUAAAUAAAUUAUGAGAAUCAGAAAAGAGAACAAGAUUUCAAAAAAUAAAAAUAAAAAUUUAAGGAAUGUAAAAACAAAAUUGCCUUUUUAUCAAUUCAAUAACCACUAAAUGCUAAAUUAUUACGCCUCUAUUUUAUAUAAAUGCUUUAUCAUAUUAUCAACUCUUUCUAAUGCAUUAAGAAUUUAAAAUUAUAAAAACUAAUAUGUGUUUGUACAUACAGAGCUUUCAAAUUCAAAUUUCGAACUGAUUCAGAAUUUUUUAUUGCUAUUUUUAAAUAACAAAAGGAGUUCCCAUUGAACACGAAGGAGAGCAAAAUGACUAAAAUCAAGAUAUUCAUAAAAUGCCAAACAAAUUGGAUGAAACAGCUUUGGAUUUUAUUUUACUUUUAUUUUUUCAAACCAACGUUUCGCUCCCGCUCGCUCUAAAUGCACACGUAUUAUUUUAUUUAUUUUAUACUUAUUAUUUAUUUUAAUAUAUUAUACACAUGUAUACAUCAAUAUAUGCACGCUACAAGGGAUGGAUGAUACAAAUCAAUUAUCAAUCACUUGAUUGGUGCUGUACCCAUUCAUUCUACAUCUUCGUAAAUACAACAAAUAGACUGAUCGUCCCUAGAGCAAGUGGCAAAAGGCUUGGUGGUUGGUAUUCGAGGUCCCAAGUUCGAAUCUUAGUUGAUUCACAUUUUCAGUUAAGUUUAUUUCUAAAUGAAAUAAAAGAAGCGGGUAGCGUACUACCUAUCUCUCAAAAAAAAAAGAAAGUAAAUACAACAAAUAGUAUUGUAUACUGGAUAAAAGUGUUAGAAUCCACCACCACUAAAAUGUUUCUUAUAUGAUCGAUGCCCAAUACUCGAUAAUUUUAGUUAUCUUAUUAUUAUUUUAUCCAAAGGUUAAUUAGAGAAGAUAUUCUAGAUGAUCUCGACUUCUCUAAUUUUGAAAUGUGUAUGGACUGCAUAGAAAGAAAGCAGAUCAAAACCUCCUCGAAAGGUGCCAAAAGAUGUGAUUAAACAUUAGAAUUGAUUCAUACAGAUAUGCGGACCUCUUUCUCUCUCAAUUACUGACCAUAAAUAUUUUAUCAUAUUUACUGAUGACUACUCUCGAUAUAGCUAUCUCUACUUGCUUUAAAAAAAAUCUGAAAUAUUAGAUGUCGUUAAGACAUAUAAGACUGAAAUAGAGAAUCAACUUGAGAAAAGGAUAAAAAUAGUCAGAUCAGAUAGAGGUGGUGAAUAUUUUGGUAGACAAGCAGAUAAAUGUCAAAUCUCUGAGCUUUUUACUAAGUUUCUUGAGUAGUACAAAAUUAUUCCACAAUACACCAUGCCAAGAACACCUGAUCAGAAUAGUAUUACUAAAAGAAGGAACCAUACAUAAAUUGAUAUGCUCAAGAGCAUGAUCAGUAAUUCUACCAUUCCGAUAUCAUUGUGGGGUGAAACACUGACAACUACCCUAUAUAUACUUAAUUGGGUUCCUACCAAGACUGUCACUAAAACUCUUUUUGAGAUUUGGACCAGUAGAAAAUCUAGUUAAAGACAUUUUUGUAUAUGGGGUUGUCAAGCUGAGGGCAAAUUGUAUGACCCACAAAUAAAGAAAUUGGACCCUCGAAUCAUAUCUGAAUAUUUUAUUUGUUAUUUAAA